RNAcentral lists this long non-coding RNA (4152 nucleotides) under Capsella rubella. RNAcentral's name for it is "long non-coding RNA (CRUB_LNC002324)". The record is from RNAcentral. Lineage: Eukaryota; Viridiplantae; Streptophyta; Magnoliopsida; Brassicales; Brassicaceae.
AGCUCCAAGUCUCUCGAAGGAAUGAGUUCGUACGAGAAGUUGGUUGGAUCGUUGUUUCAAGUGGUGAAUUCGAGACACGCCGGGGAAAGCAUUGUCGACCUCUCUACACUUUCCCCAGCUAUCUUGAUACUCUUCAUAGUUAUGAUGUGAGUUUCUUUCACUCCUCUCCUCAUAUAUCAUGCAUGGACUCAAAUUAUUUAACUCGAAAAAGUGCACUAAUGGACUCAUAUAAUUCACUGUAAAAUGUUCACAUGCACUAUGCAUCUACAUACACAUAGGUGAAGUUACUUAUAACACGUACAAGUUAAGGCAUCUUGCCUUUUUCUUUUAACGAAUAAGUUAAACUAAAUCAAUUGAGAUUGUGCUUUUUAAUACGAUACAAUACAAAAUAAAGGCUACCACAUGAAAGUUGGCUGACUUUAUACUACAGAAACACCAAACAUAUCCUCUGAAUGCGCAUAUUGUCUCACAUAGUUUGGAAAAUUAUUAAAUCAUUUGCCUAACUUUUACAUAAAGUUGAUUUUAACAAAAGAAAGAACUUUCUAUAACUAUAUUCCUAAAAAUUAUUGUUUAAUGUUUACCAAAGCAAACGUUUAUUGUCUUAUCCUAGAUUCUAUAGCACGUAACAAUAAAUCAUGCACUUAUGAGUAGGUGGUACGUGCGUAGUAACGUAGAAGUAUAUAAACACUAUUUUACUAACUUUACGUUGAGUUUAGCCGACGCGGUCCAUUUAGCUUAUAGUACUCUAUGGUUUUAGAAUCAGCAAAAAUAACAAAUGAAAACAUUAUAUAUACACAAAGCAUUAUCUUUGUUCUUCUGUAAAACAAUUCGUGGGACUAAUAAGUUAAAAUAUAAUUGCGUUGACAAGGUAUCUUCCUUCAUACACGUUACUUAUGCCCUUGGCGACAGAACAAAAGACGAUAAAGAAAGAAGGAGAUGAUGAAGAUGAUUCCGAAAAUAGAAAGAAUGUGACAUAUCAUAGGCUGUUCGUGUCACAACUUUCCUUUUUGACGAUUUGUAUCUUUCUCAUUUCAAUCACCGAAAGGCAAAAACUACAAAGAGAUCCACUCAACUUCAACGUCCUUAACAUCACUCUAGAAGUUAUCAGGUAUGUUUUCACAUAUUCUGCAUCCAUAUUACUAUUGUAAAUUCUUCCGGUAUAUAUAUGAUAAGUAAUUUCAUAAUAAAAAAGAGCCUAAAAAUAUUUAGGAAUGUGCUUAAUGUAAGUUAUGAAGAAAAUUUUCUAUAAAUAUUUGGGCCUUAAUUUAUAUAGUUUUGUUAUAUGCAAAAGUACUCUCAACCCAUGUCGGGCUUGUGUUGUAUGUGAUGUGACAUAGAAUUAAAAUAUAAAGGAUACAUUGUAUAUAUAUAUGGGUUUGACCAAAAAGAAGAAAAAGAAAAAAUAUACCAUUUCAUGAAAGCUGUGAACUCUUUGCAUGAUAGUAACAAAAAAAAAACUAACUAUUGUAACGACAGUGCAUUUGGAAAUGUUGGUUUCUCGACCGGGUAUAGCUGUGAACGGCGUCUCAACAUCAGCGAUGGUGGCUGCGAAGACGCGAGUUAUGGAUUCGCAGGACGAUGGAGUCCAAAUGCAAAAUUUGUACUAAUAAUAGUAAUGUUUUAUGGUAGGUUUAAGAACUUCACAGCCAAAUCUGGCCGAGCAUGGAUACUUUAUCCUACCUCUUCCUAACAUCACCAUAUAUAUAGUAAGCACUAGUCUAUCGAAUGUCACGUUAGCUAAGGUUUAUUCUUUUUGUGUAUGAAAUAUGUACUAUAAGAUUUGUUUUUCUUCUUGUUCUCUUUUGUAGUAUAAGUUUGUUUGUAGUUUGCAUCUAUCGUUAUAGUAUUGUAACAAUUUAUGAAAUUAUAAUGCUAUAAUCAAUCAUCAAGGAGUAUUUUGUCAUCUUGUCUUUCCUUUUGUAAUCCUAAUAAUUAUAAACUUUGCAUGCAUGUAUAAUGUAUCAUACAAAUAGUAACCAAUCAUUUUCUAUAUAUAUAUAUAUAAAUAAAGUCAUAUAUCACUUUUUUGUCUAGGUGAGUGAUUGGUUUAAGCGUGAUAUAGAGGAAGAUUGAAUAGUAAAAAAGUGAUAUAUGUUAGUUACUUGCAUAAAAACUCUAAUGAUAAAUUUUGAUUUAUCAAUCAAGAAAGGUGUGAGGAAAAUGUCAAAUGGAUAAGAUUUUGUCGGUUGUCUGAUUUAUUAUCACAACAGGGUGUUAUAAAAUUUAAAGGCUAUGCUGAUCGUUCAUGUCUUUGUAUUCACCCCCACAAGCACAUGUCUCUGUUCGUCAAUUAAUGUUUUAUUUCACCACAUGUUAUGAUUUUGGUCACAGAAAUAAUUUGGAGCAAACAAAUAAUAGAGAAGUUUGGCACGUAAACUGAAAUAAUCAUUUCUUCUAUAUUCAAUUUUCCUCUCAUUUAUAUAGAAUUUUUAUAUAUUUUUUUUUCCGAAUAAUUAAAGAGAUUCUGGACCGAAACAUAUAUAUCCAUUCAGACCCGAAACCAUAACAUGUUAUAUGGUUUCGUUCCAAACGCUACUCGAACCCGCGACCUUUGAACUUUUGCGAGAGAUUUUACCAAUUGAGCUAUUAGCACUUUUUUUUUAUUUUUUAUUUUUUUUUUGUCGACAUAGAAUCUAUAAAUCUUAUUCCUUCGAAACUGGAAAGAGCAAAUAUCUGGAAAAGAACGACGUGCAUGAUAACUAAAAUAUGUCAUAUUGCUAUCAUGUCAGUAAUGGUCCACAUAUUACAUAAGGCUCAUGACAAUGUUCAUGUACGUCUAAAUGUCUAAUGAUCUGUGACUGUAAUAUAUAUAUUUACACACUAAGCCCAAUAAUAAUAAUGCAUAGACAGAGCGACUCAAGAAACUAAAAUGAAGAGAGCUGCGGCGGAACUAGCUAAAAUCCGUUCGCAGCUUACUAAGUCUAGUUUACUAUUCUUUCUAUACGUCAUCUACUUCUUGUUCUUCUCCUUUUUAGGGUUCUUGGCACUUAGACUUACAAAGCCAAGAGUCUCUUCACGUCCUCAUGACUUGGACCUCUUCUUCACUUCUGUCUCGGCCAUUAACAUCUCUUCCAUGUCCACUGUUGAAAUGGAAGUUUUCUCCAAUACACAACUUAUCAUCCUCACUACCCUUAUGUUAUUAGGAGGCGAGAUCUUCACUUCCUUUCUCAGCCUCUACGUUUCCCAUUUCACCAAGUUCGUCUUACCUCAUAGCAAGAUUAGACAUCUUCUGGCCUCUUUUAUUUAUUUGGACCGUCCGGUCGAAGAUGGCCGUAGUGACCUCGAGACUGUAGUAGAUCAUUGUGAGGUUAAUCUUACCAAGAUCGAUGAAAGGGCUUCUAAGUGCUUGUACUAUGUGGUUCUUAGUUACCAUCUUGUAUCAACCCUAGCUGGCUCUGUGUUGCUUCUUGUGUACGUAAACUUUGUUAAAUCUGCGGGAGAUGUUCUUAGUUCCAAAGGAAUCUCACCUCUCACCUUCUCCGUCUUCACCACUGUCUCCACGUUUGCAAACUGCGGAUUUCUCCCCACGAAUGAGAACAUGGUCAUCUUUCGCAAGAACUCUGGUCUCCUCUGGCUCUUAAUCCCUCAAGUACUAAUGGGAAACACAUUGUUCCCUUGUUUCUUGGUGUUGUUCAUUUGGGGACUUUACAAGAUCACAAAGCGAGAAGAGUUUAGUUACAUUCUCAAGAACCACAAAAAGAUGGGAUACUCUCAUCUAUUCUCCGUUCGUGUAUGUGUUCUUCUUGGAUUGACAGUGUUAGGGUUUCUAAUGGUACAGCUUCUUCUCUUUGCCACCUCUGAGUGGAGCUCCAAGUCUCUCGAAGGAAUGAGUUCGUACGAGAAGUUGGUUGGAUCGUUGUUUCAAGUGGUGAAUUCGAGACACGCCGGGGAAAGCAUUGUCGACCUCUCUACACUUUCUCCAGCUAUCUUGAUACUCUUCAUAGUUAUGAUGUGAGUUUCUUUCAAUCCUCCUAUCCUCAUAUAUCAUUGCAUUUGCACGAAAAAAUGCACUAAUAAUGUCGAAUAAAAUAAAAUUAAAACAAUAGAGAUAGUGCUCUUCAUAGUGCAUUAUUUUUUUUUCUUUACACUAUUUUUAAUAUGAUUUUAUUAUCUAUUUGAUAAACGAAUGAAAAUAUGACAAGUGUAGAUAUA